This is a long non-coding RNA of Salvia splendens (bonfire salvia), 538 nucleotides long. RefSeq lists it as uncharacterized. NCBI's taxonomy places the organism in Eukaryota, Viridiplantae, Streptophyta, Magnoliopsida, Lamiales, Lamiaceae. The transcript has 3 exons. The record is from RefSeq and is a predicted model, not a curated record.
CUUGAAGAAAGUCACUUCUCUCUUCCUCAAGAAGAAUCGGCAGCUUCUUCACCUCUCAUAUUCUACUUUUCUCCUUCCAAUUAGUUGUGUUUGUUGGUAAAUCGAGCACGUAAUCGGCGGAAUAUAGUUAGAUCAAGGCGAAGGAGCCUAUAGUGUGUUUUGGACACAAAAGGAAUGGACCUAGAAGAUAGCGAAGGGUAGGAAAGUGAAAUAGGCUUAUAUUCAUAAGCCUGCGAGAGUUGUGCCCUUUACAGUAACGUGAUCAUCAGAUGGCUAAAUUGAAGCUUCGUCAUUAAGGCAAGUUCCACUCACAAAAACCACUCAUCCAUCCCAUCCUUAAAACAACAAGACUUGCUGCACUUACACUAAGUUUGUGUUCAAGGUGACUUGGUGAUGUAGAUACUCAUUCAACUUCUCAUGUAAUUUAAUGUUCUGAAAUCUAUUAAGCUCAUAUCGUUAUGAGCUACACAUUUUCAUGUCAUUUGGAACAAGAAUGGUAAGUGGUAACAUGCAAUCUAAGAAAAAGGUAAUUUCUAUA